AACGAACGCUGGCGGCGCGCCUAAUACAUGCAAGUCGAGCGAGAAGGUGUAGCAAUACACUUGUAAAGCGGCGAACGGGUGAGGAAUACAUGGGUAAUCUACCAUCGAGUGGGGAAUAACCAACCGAAAGGUUGGCUAAUACCGCGUACGCCUCCGAGUCUUCGGGUUCGGAGGGAAAGCUGCACUGUGAGUGUAGCGCUCUUUGAUGAGCUCAUGUCCUAUCAGCUUGUUGGUAGGGUAACGGCCUACCAAGGCUUUGACGGGUAGCUGGUCUGAGAGGACGAUCAGCCACACUGGCACUGCGACACGGGCCAGACUCCUACGGGAGGCAGCAGUAAGGAAUAUUGCGCAAUGGGCGAAAGCCUGACGCAGCGACGCCGCGUGGGGAUGAAGGUCUUCGGAUUGUAAACCCCUUUCGGGAGGAAGAUGGAGCGAGCAAUCGUUCGGACGGUACCUCCAGAAGCAGCCACGGCCAACUUCGUGCCAGCAGCCG
RNAcentral lists this ribosomal RNA (493 nucleotides) under uncultured bacterium. RNAcentral's name for it is "bacterial SSU rRNA". It matches the Rfam family "Bacterial small subunit ribosomal RNA", at positions 29 to 517 of the family's 1533-position model. The record is from RNAcentral.